This 1354-nucleotide ribosomal RNA is filed under the name Campylobacter avium. Its description in RNAcentral is "bacterial SSU rRNA". It matches the Rfam family "Bacterial small subunit ribosomal RNA", at positions 56 to 1423 of the family's 1533-position model. The record is from RNAcentral. Lineage: Bacteria; Pseudomonadati; Campylobacterota; Epsilonproteobacteria; Campylobacterales; Campylobacteraceae.
UGCAAGUCGAACGAUGAUGCCUUUAGCUUGCUAGAGGUGGAUUAGUGGCGCACGGGUGAGUAAGGUAUAGUUAAUCUGCCCUACACUGGGGGACAACAUUUAGAAAUGAGUGCUAAUACCCCAUACUCCACUAUAACACAAGUUAUAGUGGGAAAGUUUUUCGGUGUAGGAUGAGACUAUAUAGUAUCAGCUAGUUGGUAAGGUAAAGGCUUACCAAGGCUAUGACGCUUAACUGGUCUGAGAGGAUGAUCAGUCACAUUGGAACUGAGACACGGUCCAAACUCCUACGGGAGGCAGCAGUGGGGAAUAUUGCGCAAUGGGCGAAAGCCUGACGCAGCAACGCCGCGUGGAGGAUGACACUUUUCGGAGCGUAAACUCCUUUUCUUAGGGAAGAAUUCUGACGGUACCUAAGGAAUAAGCACCGGCUAACUCCGUGCCAGCAGCCGCGGUAAUACGGAGGGUGCAAACGUUACUCGGAAUCACUGGGCGUAAAGGGCGCGUAGGCGGAUUAUCAAGUCUCUUGUGAAAUCUAGUGGCUCAACCAUUAAACUGCUUGGGAAACUGAUAGUCUAGAGUAAGGGAGAGGCAGAUGGAAUUGGUGGUGUAGGGGUAAAAUCCGUAGAUAUCACCAAGAAUACCCAUUGCGAAGGCGAUCUGCUGGAACUUAACUGACGCUAAGGCGCGAAAGCGUGGGGAGCAAACAGGAUUAGAUACCCUGGUAGUCCACGCCCUAAACGAUGUAUGCUAGUUGUUGGGGUGCUAGUCAUCUCAGUAAUGCAGCUAACGCAUUAAGCAUACCGCCUGGGGAGUACGGUCGCAAGAUUAAAACUCAAAGGAAUAGACGGGGACCCGCACAAGCGGUGGAGCAUGUGGUUUAAUUCGAGGAUACGCGAAGAACCUUACCUGGGCUUGAUAUCCAACUAAUUCUUUAGAGAUAAAGAAGUGCUAGCUUGCUAGAAAGUUGAGACAGGUGCUGCACGGCUGUCGUCAGCUCGUGUCGUGAGAUGUUGGGUUAAGUCCCGCAACGAGCGCAACCCUCGUCCUUAGUUGCUAACAGUUUAGCUGAGCACUCUAAGGAGACUGCCUUCGUAAGGAGGAGGAAGGUGGGGACGAUGUCAAGUCAUCAUGGCCCUUACGCCCAGGGCGACACACGUGCUACAAUGGCAUAUACAAUGAGACGCAAUACCGUGAGGUGGAGCAAAUCUAUAAAAUAUGUCCCAGUUCGGAUUGUUCUCUGCAACUCGAGAGCAUGAAGCCGGAAUCGCUAGUAAUCGCAAAUCAGCCAUGUUGCGGUGAAUACGUUCCCGGGUCUUGUACUCACCGCCCGUCAAACCAUGGGAGUUGAUUUCACUCG